RNAcentral lists this long non-coding RNA (571 nucleotides) under Homo sapiens (human). Its description in RNAcentral is "non-protein coding lnc-RAX-6:2". Lineage: Eukaryota; Metazoa; Chordata; Mammalia; Primates; Hominidae. The record is from RNAcentral.
UCACACCACAGCAGCAGCGACUGGUCGGAGUUCCCAUGCUGAUGCAAGAGAAUGUGCUAUUUCAACCCAGGCAGAGCAAGAAGCAAAAACCCUUCAAACUUCAACAGACUCAGUCUCCAAAGAAGGCAACACAAAUUGCAAGGGAGAAGGCAUGCAAGUUAAUACUCUAUUUGAAACAAGCCAGGUUCCAGACUGGAGUGAUCCUCCUCAGUUCACAAGAAGUCUGGGGCUAGUGAAAGUCUGUGUGUCAUUCCAGUAGCUCGACGAUGACUGCAAAUCUCCAACUUCCUUCUCUCUUUCUGCUGCACCAGUCAUAGUGUGCUGGCUUUUCAUUUUCAUGCCCCAGGACUGGAAGAUGAGAGCUGCAGCACCAGGCAUUACAUCCUGAUUGAAGGAAGAAGGAGGGGAUAGGCAAGGAAUUUUAUCGUUGAAAUGGAAGAGGAUGAUACAGUGGUGACCUUCCACACUCUGUCCUGGAGCAGCGUUGUACAAGUUCAGGAAACAGUCAGAGAGACAAUCUCUUGCAGCCAGAUGCCAGCUUUCUCAGAGCCUGCUGGGGAGGAGUCCCCAU